UCUGCUCCCUGGGAACCCAACCGUCUCUUCAGUCGCUCCCGGUGCCUGUAGCCAACCUCAGCCUGGUGAUGGAUGACCCUCAAUCCUCGGUGUGACGUCUGGUCAGAGCGUCAGUAGCGCCUAACGCUGCAUCACAAUGCCCGUGUCCCUCACCUCCCUUCGUCUUGUCACAUCGGCACUUUAUCAUCGCACAUUGUCGCAAGAAGGAAGGGAUCACACGGUCUCUGCUUGAACAUGCGCCGUGGCGGGAGCUGCAAGGAGCAUCAUUCCAGCAGCCUCAACGUGGGGAAGUUACUGAGCCCCACCCUGCCUUCCGCCUUCCCUCCUCCAACCAUCGUGCCCCCGGAGGCCAUAGUAGCUACUGCCUUUCCCACAACAGGCUGCCACUACCCCCCUUGUGACCUCAGUGUGUCCUUUCAACUGAUUAACUUCUUUCCAGCCGAACUUUUAACUCAGGCCAAAGACCAGGUGGGUGGAGUAGCCCCUGCAAUAAAGUUCCCUGCGUGAUUGACCCCAAGGUCAUGAUCGACCUGACUGACCUUCACCGCCCACCUGCAUGUACCCACCAACUUCUGUGCCACAUUCCCCUUACGUAAACUUGGAAGUGUUUUCAGCACAUGGGAGAUCAUCUUUGAGACGUGAGUCCACUGUCUUCAAUGCAUUGGCCUCACACCAAAAUGAAUUCCUUUCCCGUUUCUCCACCGCUCAUCCCUCUGUCUCUGGAUUUUGUCAGUGGCCAGUGGCAGAACCUGGUCUGUCUGGGACCCGUUCGAGUCAGGUGCCCUUGCACCUGUGGGCCCUGGCGACAUAUGAAU
Molecule: long non-coding RNA, 815 nt
Organism: Suricata suricatta (meerkat)
Lineage: Eukaryota; Metazoa; Chordata; Mammalia; Carnivora; Herpestidae
Exons: 3
Source: RefSeq, a predicted model, not a curated record